GAACCACAGUGAUCUGACAUGAAGGGAAACUUUCCUCUAAUUUCUUCAGCUCCAAGACGGCUCCCAAUUCCUGUGUCUCUGACAUCUUUGAGAUCCUUGUGAUUGUUGCUAUUGAAGCCCAUCAGUGGGGUAUGUUACCACUGGAUGGCAUAUGAUACCCUGGUUUCAUGGAGCCCUGCUUGCCAAAUGGAAGAAAGGAACCAAUGCUGACUGGAGAUCUCACUGGAUGCUUUUCCACCAACUUUUUGUUCAGCCUAUGAUGAGAAAAUUGAGUCCCAGAGAUGCCAAGUAGCAUGCCCAAAGCCACAUGGCUAGUAAGUAGCAGAUCCAGAAUAAUUCCUGUGUGAGAGCUUUUAACCCAACCCAGAGCAACCACUCAUAACUUGCCAUUGUAAGUAUAGCCUCUGGGUUCUCCUUCCUUCUAGGAUCAUGUUCAUCUUAAUACGUACAAGAAAACCAUUCUCUCUCUCUCUCUCCCCCAAGGUGUUAGAAAUCUUUUGCCCUUUGCUUCCCUGUCUGCUAGGCUCCCUUCUGGGACAGAUGGUUUGUCUGAUGGGUGAGCUGGUG
This 567-nucleotide long non-coding RNA is filed under the name Sus scrofa (pig). RNAcentral describes it as "lncRNA (ENSSSCG00055007126.1)". Lineage: Eukaryota; Metazoa; Chordata; Mammalia; Artiodactyla; Suidae. The record is from RNAcentral.